CAGUAACAAUAUUUUAGUCAAGUGGCUUCCAAGUAUCCUUGUAAGAAACUGGAGUGAGAAACUAUAGAUGGGUUCAGUAAAAGAGCAGCUUGCUGCUGUGGAAAAAGAAAUAUUUAAAAUAAACCAAGAGGUUCAAUGGUUGCUUGAUAAACAGAAAACUUUGAAAGAAAAAAGAAACCAAUUAAAGCUUCAGCUGGAACAGGAAGCAUCUGCAGAGUUAGCCAACAUUGACUGGA
This 236-nucleotide long non-coding RNA is filed under the name Limulus polyphemus (Atlantic horseshoe crab). RNAcentral's name for it is "uncharacterized LOC111083584, transcript variant X2". Lineage: Eukaryota; Metazoa; Arthropoda; Merostomata; Xiphosura; Limulidae. The record is from RNAcentral.